CACACCAAGGAGAUUAUCAAAUUCUGUAGGAGCCGAAGUAAACUGGAACGACGGCCGGACAUGCAACUCAACUCCCGACAAAGACACACCAUCAAUGUACAACUUGACGUCCAAUGCAGUCUUGCCGACCAACUUCUCACGUGAAUCAAAGAGUUUGGAGGAGCAUUAUGGCGUACAAGAAGUUGAGUGACUUAAGAACAAGGGGGGAAACUGGAACGUACAAGUGAAAGUAAUGAUUAUGUGGGAAUCGAUCAAUCCUACAACCGAUGAACUAAUCAGCCUAGAUAUGAUUUUCAUGGAUGAAGAGGGCCAAACAAUUCAUGCUUUUACCUGGAAAAACCUAAUAGACACUUUUAGAUCAAAAAUUAAAGAGCAGUCUAUUUACGCUUUCAACAAUUUGAAGGUUGUGGAAUCUACAAAGUGUCGUCCAAC
Long non-coding RNA from Triticum aestivum (bread wheat), 432 nucleotides. RefSeq lists it as uncharacterized. The transcript is spliced from 3 exons. The record is from RefSeq and is a predicted model, not a curated record. NCBI's taxonomy places the organism in Eukaryota, Viridiplantae, Streptophyta, Magnoliopsida, Poales, Poaceae.